GUGAAGAGAACACAAGAAAUGAUUCAUCGGCUAUGGCGAUGUAAUAAUAACAUUAGAACGUGCCAGUAGUCGUAUCAGAGCUAUUGAAACAGUGCUUCGAACCGUUAGCCGUUUGGUGGUAGCGCCAUAAACGAAUAAGAGUAAAGAAGUAUCAUUAAUGGAUAAUGAUAUCGGAAUCUUUAAAUGGUGCGGCAAAAUGACGUUUUCUAGUUGUGAUACCACAGAUAAUGGUAUCAGAGUUGGCAAACAAUGCAGCUAUAAUAUCACUAAUGAACAUUAAAUUGAAAAAAAGCAUGAUCAAUUAUGCUUAGAACGAAGCUUCACAUGAAAACAAUUUUCAGUUUGUUAAGAUAAAAAUCAGUUUUAGGAAACCAGUCGGUAAGAAUAAAAUAAUAAUGACAAUAAUAGAUAAAGCUCAAUAUUCUCAACAAUUCUUAUUUAUAAGUACAUGUGUACUAAGCACUAUCGUGUAAGAAAAGUCUAAGAAUGGAUCGGAAAGAGAAAAGAUUGAUCGAUCAUCGGUCAGUGAGCAAAAAGACCAGCUUUGAUACACAAGGACGGUCAUCGCCACAGACGUUAUUCCUUCGUGACCCAGUUUGUGUUCGCCUCAUGACGCACAUUCCAAUUCACCGACGUUCAGAAACACUUCUUUUUCCUCAUUCAAUUCCCUUUCUUCAUCCUCUACAUUUCCUUCUAUGAGUCCUCGAUAGUUCACUAACAUUUCGCCAGAUGACGUCACUAGUAACUACCAUUUCUGUACAAACUUAAUCACAGGUUAACACCACUUAACGUCUUAACAGAUUCGCCGAUAAUUAUGUGAGAUCUUGAAAUACAAAAUCAUAGGAUUCUGUGAUUAAGACAAAGCUUAUUUUAGUCGUGGAAAAUUGUAGCAAUAUAGCAACAGUCAUAGCAGAUGAGGAAACGGAAUUCUCUUUUAAUUUGAUUUUUAUCAAGAUAUAUGUUUUGAAAAGCAUUCAAAGUAGUUUGUUGCAGAGAUAAAUACAAGGUCGAAGUCCUGACUGGGAAAACAGAAAUGUACUGUCAUCUGUUACGUGAACUAAUAAUAACUAUUAUUGUCGAUAUUGCGCAAUCGGAUCUGAUUAUUCUUUGUUGCGGUCGUUACUGAUAGUUUAAUUACAUCAAUAAUUUGACGGACGAUUAAUUUGGAGGAGGUAAGCGAUUUAGACCGUGUUGAUUUGUAAAAAUCUUUUAUUUCGAGAUUAGUAAUAGGAGAUUAUGAGGAUUAGAGGGGGAUUAGUGAAGGACUAAUUUAUCAAAGAAUUGGUUCAGGUAAAUUGAUCAAAAUAUAACUAUCUUUCUCACACGCCUAACAAAUCCUCCAUUAAAACAUGUGUUACGGACAUACGAGGUUAUCUUACAGUUCUUCCAGUUGACUUCGACAUCGCGAAAAUAAAGUGACUUACGAAGAUCUGUAAAUAAACGUGCAAUGUUAUGACGUAAUUGUAAUCGCGAUGGAUUCAUCAUCUUUUCUUUGCUCCCGCUUCACGUCAAUAUCAACAUUGUAUCAUCGAAUUCAGAUUCCGAGCAUCCAUCAUCAAUGUUCAUAUAUUGCUCAAGGAUGAUUUUGUUAAUCUCUAAGACGUUGCAGCAACACGAUUUUCAUGGUCAUUUAUUUUUGCACCCCAUUAGAUUUUAACUUUCUUGCACAAUUUAACUAAUGUUACUAAUGAAAUUUUACAAGCCUUAGGUUAAAAGUUACGAAUAUCAAUAAGUUAGUUUGCGUCAUAGCUACUUAUUUACAAAUUAUUUACAAAAUCUACAACCAACAAUUCGUAACUCGUCAAUUCACUACUAUUAUUAAUUGGUAAAUUAUCAUACAAGAGUCAUAUACAAAAUGUUGAUAUAACGGAAUAAAAUAGAGAAAUCCAGAAAUCUAAGAAAGUAGGAAUGUACUAAGUAGGUUGAAAAUUUUAUUGUCAUUUAAAAAUAAUUUACUACAUUUAAUUCUAUGAAUGGAAUUUUGUAAAUAUGGAAAUAGAAAGAGAAACUAACAAAAAAAUGACUUAUAUAAUGAAAUAGUUGUAUGGAAAUAAAUUUGUAUGUUAUACAACAUGAGAUGUCAUACAACAUGUAACGAAUAUCAACGCAACGCAUUAUGUCUGAUUAUGUAAUUAAUGCGAUCUUUUGAGGACAUUAUCAUCUGCGAAAAUUUUUAGCUUAUCUUUGUAUUAAUGAAUUUACGGGUCAGCGAAGCGCAGCAUAAUUAAGUCGACAUGAAAAUAAGACUAACAAACAUUGUUUUUCAUCAUACAAUGUAUUGUUUUAAUUUCUCGGCAUAAUUUCCUUAUGUUAUAUCGAUUUCAUUAAUUGAAUUACAAUCAAAGAUGUAAACACCGCUACAUUAAUUUUUCAUUUUUCAUUACCAGCUGAAUUAAUGAUUGAUAUAUUCUGUACACAAAUAAUUUAUAGAGACAAAUUUUGUGACAUUUUCAUGAAAGGUACGAAAAACAGAAGUGCGGAAAAUAUGGCAAUUAUCGACGUUGACCGUGACGAACCGGGAGAAAUGAUUAAUUGCUAUCUAAAAUUAAUUGAGUUUCUUUCUUUAUGGCAAUUACGUGAUUCAACAAUGAUCACUUUACGUAACGCCAUUUGUUAUAAUGAUGUUGUAGCGAUUACGUGCCUGUCCCAUGUCUACUCGCAGCAACUUAAGGUCAAGUUCAAAUAUUGACUAACAAUUAUCAUGAGAACUAUCGUCAGAUUAUUUAGUAUUUUAGUGAUUCUUUUGGUUCAUGGCAUACCUGGAAUCUUGCACAAUAAGUUAUUAAUUAUUAAUAUUAAUAAUUUUACAAGUUAUAAGUUAUAGACUCCUUUUUCACAAUUUCACAAUUUUAAGUCAAAUAUAAAUAUUAUCGUAGUU
Bombus terrestris (buff-tailed bumblebee) is the source of this 2878-nucleotide long non-coding RNA. RefSeq lists it as uncharacterized. The transcript is spliced from 4 exons. NCBI's taxonomy places the organism in Eukaryota, Metazoa, Arthropoda, Insecta, Hymenoptera, Apidae. The record is from RefSeq and is a predicted model, not a curated record.